UGUCAUUCCAGAAAUGCAUGAAUUCACUUACCUGAAUUGAUAAGUAGCUAUAUACUGGGUGUUGCAUCCGUUUGUAUCGGUCGGUCAUCACCACCACGUUCUUAAGUCAUAGCUCAAAGCAAAUAGAAUAUACAAAUGUAGGUAGAUAUCUCAGCACGCUGUCUACCAUUUGAACAGUUUGAAACAAAUUUGUGGAGCCGUCGGCAAACAGGAAAAAAGCUUAUAAAUAUUCGCUGGUCAUUACACCAACUGCAACAAACAGUGAUACACACACCUCCACCUCCAGUAUGCAAGAGGGCAUUCGCUAUCAGAAGGCAAACAACACCAACUGCAGAUACGCUUGAUAUUCUAUAAAUGAUCCCUCAAAUCAGUCAGGUCUUCCAGAGUGAAAGCGGAAUUCGAACGAGGCACUGAGGAGCUUCGGUCAACUCUAGCUCCAGAAUGGAGGCACUACUCAACAGUCAGUGCGCGGCGCAAAGCCUUGGGCCGGCGAAUCAGCUGUUUGCCAUGCUGAUCCAAACGAUAAUGGCAGCCCAGUGUAGCAUUUCACCGCCGGACAUGUGGCCCAAGGAUUACGGCCCAACGGCGCUGAACGAAGGCCUUCAGGAGUACGAUUUCAUUAUCGUUGGGGCCGGAUCGGCUGGAUCCGUGGUGGCGAACCGACUGUCGGAAAACCCCGAUUGGAAAAUUCUACUGCUGGAAGCCGGAGGGGAUCCUCCGAUUGAAUCCGAGAUCCCUGGGUUGUUUUUGCACACUCAGAAAACAUCUAGUGAUUGGGAGUAUUACGCUGAGGUGUCCGAAAAAGCUAGCAGAGCGAUGCCUAAUGGCAGUUACUGGCCACGAGCAAAGAUGCUGGGCGGAUGUAGCUCAAUGAAUUUUAUGCUGUAUGUGCGGGGAAAUGAACGUGACUAUAACAGCUGGGCUGAAAGUGGAUGCGAUGGUUGGAGCUGGAAGGAUGUUUUGAAGUACUUCAAAAAAUUCGAAAGAAAUGAGCUUUUCGGGAAUAGCCGAUACCACUCAGUUGACGGUGAAUUGAAGGUUGGAAACUUUAGUCGGGGAAGUGAGUUGAUAGGAGUGAUUAGUGAAGCUGCAGAUGAACUGGGAUUUCCAAAAUUGACAGAUGUUAACGGAAAAAGGUAUAUUGGAGUGGUGGAAUUACAAGGAACCUUAUACGGCGGUAGAAGACAAAGUGCUGCGAAGACUUUCUUGAACUCGUUACAACGGCCAAAUUUACAUGUUAUUAAAAAUGCUCAUGUUGUGAAGGUUAUUUUCGAACAUUUAUCUGCAACCGAGGUGCAAUUCAGUCUGCAAAAUUCUGAACUUUUAAGGGUGAGGGCUAAAAAGGAAAUCAUUUUAUCGGCAGGAGCAGUGAAUACCCCACAAGUCAUGAUGCUAUCUGGGCUAGGACCAGCCAACCACUUGAAGCAGCACGGAGUACAAGCGAUCGUUGAUUUACCUGUUGGAGAAAAUCUGCAAGACCAUGUUAUCGUGACUUAUUUUAUUGCUUUGAAACCUGGAGAAAAGGAAAACGAAGCAUACGAAGAUUAUCUUCAAUACCUUCUGAAGCAAUCCGGCAUUUUUGCUGGAAAUGGAGGAACUCACAUUACCCUGUUUUUGAAUUCUGAAUCAAAAAACCACAAAUAUCCCAAUCUUCAGUAUCAUUAUCUGUUUUUCAAAAGUGGUGACAAUUAUCGUUUACCGCAGUUUUUCAAGCUGAUGGGUUAUCGCAAAGAUUUUGAAUCCACUUUACGUGAAGUUAAUGAAGCACAUGAUAUAGUUGUAGUAUGGAUUACGCUUCUAAACCCAAAAUCUACGGGGCACAUUGAGCUGAAAAAUAGCAAUCCGUACGAGAAAGUCAGAAUAUUUGCCAACUACCUCGAACAUGAGGACGAUGUCGUACUACUUGUGAAAGGACUGAAGCUACAACGCCGCUUUCUAAACACCAAGCCAUUAAAGAAAUUACACGCAUCAGAAAUCAGAUUCGUGCUUCCAGAGUGCGACAGUCAUUCAACAGAAUCGGAUGAGUACUUAUCUUGCUAUGUGAGCUUUUUCUCCACAACCAUCUAUCAUCCCGUUGGAACGGCACGGAUGGGUCCCGUAAGCGAUCAACGAACAGUAGUGGAUCCACGGCUAAGAGUACGCGGUGUCAAAGGUUUACGGGUGAUCGAUGCCAGUAUUAUGCCCAGCCUAGUAAGCGGAAAUACGAACGCUCCAGCCAUUAUGAUAGGGGAAAAAGGCGCUGAUCUCAUUAAGUCGGAUUGGCUUUCAGUUGACUCAUCACAUUUUGAACUCUAACCAAACAUCUGAUAACAACGUGUGUAGUGGUUUGUGUGCAUUUUGUCUGUUGUUCCAAGUGUUAAGUUGGUACCACUCUUCUUCCAUCUGCAAAAUUCUACUUAUGACUGGGCUUACACGAUUGAGCGUUCGAAACGGGCUUGUAAGAGCAUGCCGAAUGGAUGUUUUUGGCCGAGAGGGAAGCUGCUUGGGGGUUCAGGUGGAA
RNA transcript from Aedes albopictus (Asian tiger mosquito), 2500 nucleotides. It is a transcript of the gene named glucose dehydrogenase [FAD, quinone], with no coding region annotated. The transcript is spliced from 4 exons. NCBI's taxonomy places the organism in Eukaryota, Metazoa, Arthropoda, Insecta, Diptera, Culicidae. The record is from RefSeq and is a predicted model, not a curated record.